Molecule: ribosomal RNA, 576 nt
Filed under: uncultured bacterium
Lineage: Bacteria
Description: partial 16S ribosomal RNA
Rfam family: Bacterial small subunit ribosomal RNA
Source: RNAcentral
UGGGGAAUUUUGGACAAUGGGCGAAAGCCUGAUCCAGCAAUGCCGCGUGUGUGAAGAAGGCCUUCGGGUUGUAAAGCACUUUUGUCCGGAAAGAAAUCCUUGGCUCUAAUACAGUCGGGGGAUGACGGUACCGGAAGAAUAAGCACCGGCUAACUACGUGCCAGCAGCCGCGGUAAUACGUAGGGUGCAAGCGUUAAUCGGAAUUACUGGGCGUAAAGCGUGCGCAGGCGGUUUGCUAAGACCGAUGUGAAAUCCCCGGGCUCACCUGGGAACUGCAUUGGUGACUGGCAGGCUAGAGUAUGGCAGAGGGGGGUAGAAUUCCACGUGUAGCAGUGAAAUGCGUAGAGAUGUGGAGGAAUACCGAUGGCGAAGGCAGCCCCCUGGGCCAAGUACUGACGCUCAUGCACGAAAGCGUGGGGAGCAAACAGGAUUAGAUACCCUGGUAGUCCACGCCCUAAACGAUGUCAACUAGUUGUUGGGGAUUCAUUUCCUUAGUAACGUAGCUAACGCGUGAAGUUGACCGCUGGGGAGUACGGUCGCAAGAUUAAAACUCAAUGAAUUGACGGGGUCAUGCUG